This 465-nucleotide ribosomal RNA is filed under the name uncultured bacterium. RNAcentral's name for it is "partial 16S ribosomal RNA". It matches the Rfam family "Bacterial small subunit ribosomal RNA", at positions 28 to 507 of the family's 1533-position model. The record is from RNAcentral.
GACGAACGCUGGCGGCGUGCUUAACACAUGCAAGUCGAACGGAAAGGCCCUGCUUGCAGGGUACUCGAGUGGCGAACGGGUGAGUAACACGUGGGUGAUCUGCCCUGCACUUCGGGAUAAGCUUGGGAAACUGGGUCUAAUACCGGAUAGGAGCCAUCUUUAGUGUGGUGGUUGGAAAGUUUUUUCGGUGUAGGAUGAGCUCGCGGCCUAUCAGCUUGUUGGUGGGGUAAUGGCCUACCAAGGCGGCGACGGGUAGCCGGCCUGAGAGGGUGUACGGCCACAUUGGGACUGAGAGACGGCCCAGACUCCGACGGGAGGCAGCAGUGGGGAAUAUUGCACAAGGGGCGCAAGCCGGAUGCAGCGACGCCGCGUGGGGGAUGAAGGCCUUCGGGUUGUAAACUCCUUUCGCUAGGGACGAAGCUUUUUGUGACGGUACCUAGAUAAGAAGCACCGGCUAACUACGUG